UGGGGAAUAUUGCACAAUGGGGGAAACCCUGAUGCAGCGACGCCGCGUGAGCGAAGAAGGUUUUCGAAUCGUAAAGCUCUGUUCUAUGGGAAGAUAAUGACGGUACCAUAGGAGGAAGCCCCGGCUAACUACGUGCCAGCAGCCGCGGUAAUACGUAGGGGGCAAGCGUUGUCCGGAAUCACUGGGCGUAAAGGGUUCGCAGGCGGAAAUGCAAGUCAGUUGUGAAAGGCAGAGGCUCAACCUCUGUAAGCAAUUGAAACUGUAUUUCUUGAGAUGUGGAGAGGCAAGUGGAAUUCCUAGUGUAGCGGUGAAAUGCGUAGAUAUUAGGAAGAAUACCGGUGGCGAAGGCGACUUGCUGGACACAAACUGACGCUGAGGAACGAAAGCGUGGGUAGCAAACAGG
RNAcentral lists this ribosomal RNA (403 nucleotides) under Fusobacteriota bacterium. Its description in RNAcentral is "Fusobacteria bacterium partial 16S ribosomal RNA". It matches the Rfam family "Bacterial small subunit ribosomal RNA", at positions 355 to 776 of the family's 1533-position model. Lineage: Bacteria; Fusobacteriati; Fusobacteriota. The record is from RNAcentral.